Molecule: long non-coding RNA, 559 nt
Filed under: Homo sapiens (human)
Lineage: Eukaryota; Metazoa; Chordata; Mammalia; Primates; Hominidae
Description: non-protein coding lnc-TTC30B-1:9
Source: RNAcentral
CAAAUAUGCAAAACCUACUGCUUUGAGAUUUUUUUUUAACAGAUGUGUUCCCUACAGAACAGGUUUCUCUUAUUGCCUGGAUCCAAGAGCAUCUCCUGGGUUCUUCCUGUUAGAAUACUGAAUGUCCAUGGAGAGUUUAACAUAAGGAAGAAGAGGCCUGUCUCCCAGCUGAAACUGGUGCAGCAGAUCAUGCAAAGUAAAACCUCAGCAGCUGUGAUGAAGUAGAGCAGAGGGCCUGGGUGUCUGUCAGCUCCAAGCGGAAGAUUUCCCCAGCUUUCUAGAUUUCUGACUUCAUAUCUGUGGGAUCCACACAAUGGGGAGGUACUGGCCUUGGAAUCCAUGGUUCCCCAGCUAUCAUUUUACUUUAGAAUUACAGUGUUCUCUGUUAGUGUCAAGGGAAUGAACCUGACGAGAAAAGACCAAACAUAGGACUGUUACAGGGAAGAAAAAUAUGAAAAGACCUAAAGAUGCACGUCCUCAUUAUAUGUAAGGAAUCUAUUUCCUAGAAUCCUAUAAAAAGCUCAAGUGAAUUUGCUUCAGUUAAUAAAUGUGAUUUAAU